GACGAACGCUGGCGGCGUGCUUAACACAUGCAAGUCGAACGGAAAGGCCCUGCUUUUGUGGGGUGCUCGAGUGGCGAACGGGUGAGUAACACGUGAGUAACCUGCCCUUGACUUUGGGAUAACUUCAGGAAACUGGGGCUAAUACCGGAUAGGAGCUCCUGCUGCAUGGUGGGGGUUGGAAAGUUUCGGCGGUUGGGGAUGGACUCGCGGCUUAUCAGCUUGUUGGUGGGGUAGUGGCUUACCAAGGCUUUGACGGGUAGCCGGCCUGAGAGGGUGACCGGCCACAUUGGGACUGAGAUACGGCCCAGACUGCUACGGGAGGCAGCGGUGGGGAAUAUUGCACAAUGGGCGGAAGGCUGAUGCAGCAACGCCGCGUGCGGGAUGACGGCCUUCGGGUUGUAGACCGCUUUCGCCUGUGACGAAGCGUGAGUGACGGUAAUGGGUAAAGAAGCACCGGCUAACUACGUG
Molecule: ribosomal RNA, 468 nt
Filed under: uncultured bacterium
Lineage: Bacteria
Description: partial 16S ribosomal RNA
Rfam family: Bacterial small subunit ribosomal RNA
Source: RNAcentral